UUUCCGUAGGUGAACCUGCGGAAGGAUCAUUAUUGAAUAAACCUGAUGUGGCCGUUAGCUGGCUUUUCGAAGCAUGUGCUCGUCCGUCAUCUUUAUCUCUCCACCUGUGCACAUUUCGUAGUCUUGGAUACCUCUCGAGGCAACUCGGAUUUUAGGGUCGCUGUGCUGUACAAGUCGGCUUUCCUUUCAUUUCCAAGACUAUGUUUUUAUAUACACCAAAGUAUGUUUAAAGAAUGUCAUCAAUAGGAACUUGUUUCCUAUAUAACUAUACAACUUUCAGCAACGGAUCUCUUGGCUCUC
Molecule: unclassified non-coding RNA, 300 nt
Filed under: plant metagenome
Description: partial contains small subunit ribosomal RNA, internal transcribed spacer 1, and 5.8S ribosomal RNA
Source: RNAcentral